This 612-nucleotide ribosomal RNA is filed under the name Gyalideopsis sp. MC-2021a. RNAcentral's name for it is "partial large subunit ribosomal RNA". It matches the Rfam family "Eukaryotic large subunit ribosomal RNA", at positions 35 to 658 of the family's 3401-position model. Lineage: Eukaryota; Fungi; Ascomycota; Lecanoromycetes; Ostropales; Graphidaceae. The record is from RNAcentral.
UAAGCAUAUCAAUAAGCGGAGGAAAAGAAACCAACAGGGAUUGCCCUAGUAACGGCGAGUGAAGCGGCAAAAGCUCAGAUUUGAAAUCUUUUUAUUUAAUAAAACGAAUUGUAAUCUGUAGAAGGCUGAAUGGCUGAAUAUUCUGAAUUAAAUUCCUUGGAACAGGAUAUCAUAGAGGGUGAGAAUCCCGUGAUUUUCAGAAAAUAAGUCAAUUAAUUCACCUUUCGACGAGUCGAGUUGUUUGGGAAUGCAGCUCUAAAUGGGUGGUAAAUUUCAUCUAAAGCUAAAUACCUGCCAGAGACCGAUAGCGAACAAGUAGAGUGAUCGAAAGAUGAAAAGCACUUUGAAAAGAGAGUUAAAAAGUACGUGAAAUUGUUGAAAGGGAAGCGCUUGCGAUUAGACUUGAUAAUUAAAUUCAAUUAACCUACGGGUUCAAUUUAUUUUUUAACUAUCAGGCCAGCAUCAAUUUAAUGAGGUUUAUAAAAUUAAAUGGAAUGUAGUAACUGCUUCGGUAGUUAUGUUAUAGCCAUUUAAAUAAUAAAUUUAUAUUAGAUUGAGGUCUGCUCUUCGGAAAGGAUGCUGGCAUAAUGAUCGUAAGCGACCCGUCUUGAA